This 35-nucleotide non-coding RNA is filed under the name Trypanosoma brucei brucei. Lineage: Eukaryota; Euglenozoa; Kinetoplastea; Trypanosomatida; Trypanosomatidae. The record is from RNAcentral.
UAAAAUAGAACUAAAGACACUGUAACUUAGUGAGU